Molecule: long non-coding RNA, 432 nt
Filed under: Mytilus galloprovincialis (Mediterranean mussel)
Lineage: Eukaryota; Metazoa; Mollusca; Bivalvia; Mytilida; Mytilidae
Source: RNAcentral
UGGGCAAUGCGGACGUGUUCGUGUAUCAAGGCGUAGAAGAAAAGCGAGUGACUCUAGGAUAUACAUAUUCUUACAUAAACCAAGACAUAUCAAAGCAGGGAUUUUUUCGAAUGGUCAAUACGAACUCUUACAUCUGAACAGAGAGUGACUGAAUGGGCAAUAUGAAGCCGAAGCAAAACAGAGGCAAGUAAUACGACUUAUAUCAAAAUGGUAGUAUUAUUAGUUGCUUCGGAAGGUUUAGUACAUUUGUCUAUAUUAUAUGUAAUUGACAAUCACCGAGGGCAUCAUCCGCACAGUAUCAGACAUUGACCGUAAUUAUAUGACGUACGUACUAACUACGAAUAUUCAGCAAUUAAUUUUCCAAAACUAUGGCGUCACAUUAUAUAAGUCUAUUCUUAUCAAUUAUUACUUAUAUAAAUUGUGGGAAUACCA